RNAcentral lists this ribosomal RNA (253 nucleotides) under uncultured bacterium. RNAcentral's name for it is "partial 16S ribosomal RNA". It matches the Rfam family "Bacterial small subunit ribosomal RNA", at positions 524 to 776 of the family's 1533-position model. The record is from RNAcentral.
UACGUAGGGGGCAAGCGUUGUCCGGAUUUAUUGGGCGUAAAGAGCGUGUAGGCGGUUUGGGAGGUCCGCUGUGAAAACUCGAGGCUCAACCUCGAGACGCCGGUGGAAACCAUCAGACUAGAGUCCGGAAGAGGAGAGUGGAAUUCCUGGUGUAGCGGUGAAAUGCGCAGAUAUCAGGAAGAACACCCGUGGCUAAGGCGGCUCUCUAGUACGGUACUGACGCUGAGACGCGAAAGCGUGGGGAGCGAACAGG